GACGAACGCUGGCGGCGUGCUUAACACAUGCAAGUCGAACGGUGAAGCGCCUUCCUUUUUGGUGGGUGUGGAUGAGUGGCGAACGGGUGAGUAACACGUGAGUAACCUGCCCCCUUCUUCUGGAUAACCGCAUGAAAGUGUGGCUAAUACGGGAUAUUCUGGGUCUGUCGCAUGAUGGGUCUGGGAAAGAUAUUGUUUCGGUGGGGGAUGGGCUCGCGGCCUAUCAGCUUGUUGGUGGGGUGAUGGCCUACCAAGGCGGUGACGGGUAGCCGGCCUGAGAGGGUGGACGGUCACACUGGGACUGAGACACGGCCCAGACUCCUACGGGAGGCAGCAGUGGGGAAUAUUGCACAAUGGGCGCAAGCCUGAUGCAGCGACGCCGCGUGAGGGAUGGAGGCCUUCGGGUUGUGAACCUCUUUCGCCAGUGAAGCAGGCCUGCCUCGUUUGUGGGUGGGUUGACGGUAGCUGGAGAAGAAGCGCCGGCUAACUACGCG
RNAcentral lists this ribosomal RNA (494 nucleotides) under uncultured bacterium. Its description in RNAcentral is "partial 16S ribosomal RNA". It matches the Rfam family "Bacterial small subunit ribosomal RNA", at positions 28 to 507 of the family's 1533-position model. The record is from RNAcentral.